AAGGCCUUAGCUUAAUUAAAGUGUUUGAGUUGCAUUCAUUAGAUAUAAGAUAGAGUCUUGUAGGUCUUA
Molecule: transfer RNA, 69 nt
Filed under: Mauremys mutica (yellowpond turtle)
Lineage: Eukaryota; Metazoa; Chordata; Testudines; Geoemydidae
Also listed under: 1 other name
Description: tRNA-Ala
Rfam family: tRNA
About the family: Transfer RNA (tRNA) molecules are approximately 80 nucleotides in length.
Source: RNAcentral